Molecule: ribosomal RNA, 207 nt
Filed under: uncultured bacterium
Lineage: Bacteria
Description: partial 16S ribosomal RNA
Rfam family: Bacterial small subunit ribosomal RNA
Source: RNAcentral
CACGUAGGCGGACUAUUAAGUCAGGGGUGAAAUCCCGGGGCUCAACCCCGGAACUGCCUUUGAUACUGGUAGUCUCGAGUCCAGAAGAGGUGAGUGGAAUUCCGAGUGUAGAGGUGAAAUUCGUAGAUAUUCGGAGGAACACCAGUGGCGAAGGCGGCUCACUGGUCUGGUACUGACGCUGAGGUGCGAAAGCGUGGGGAGCAAACA